This 768-nucleotide long non-coding RNA is filed under the name Sus scrofa (pig). RNAcentral describes it as "lncRNA (ENSSSCG00070019946.1)". The record is from RNAcentral. Lineage: Eukaryota; Metazoa; Chordata; Mammalia; Artiodactyla; Suidae.
GCCAAUGCUUUACACUUAUUAGCCUUUUAUAUAGACACUUGGUGGGGGGCAUGUGGGUUUUUUAAAGAACUUUCCUUUGCAGAGGCUUCGUUUCAUCCUUCAUGAGGCUGUUCAGGAUUUUGACUUGCAUAUAAACGCUUGGCUCUGCCUUCUGUUCUCCUAGUGGGUGUGUGAGACCUUGCAACUACACAGAAUGCAGUUGUCUUGACCUCAGGUCUGUCUGUUCUGUUGGCAAGUAAUAAUGCAGUACUGUUCUGACCUGCUGCUAUUAGAAUGCAUUGUGAAACGACUGGAGUAUGAUUAAAAGUUAUGUUUCCCCCAAUGCUUGGAGUAGUGAUUGUUGAAGGAAAAUCCACUGAGUGAUAAAAGGCUGAGUGUUGAGGAAAUUUCUGCAGCUUUAAGCAUUCAUGUUUGUGAUUGAAGCAGUCCUUUUUGCUGUGCUUUAGGUAAAAUGCUUUUUGUUCACUUCUGGUAGGGGGGGUGGGGAGGGCACUGAAGCCUUUAGUCUUUUCCAGAUGCAACUUUAAAAUCAGUGACAAGAAAUAAGUUCCAAACGAACAACAGACUUCAAGAAGUUUAACUGGCAAGUGGAAACGUUUUAACAUCAGUUCAGUGGUCUUAGUGCAUUGUGUGUGCAGGUUUCUCUCUUCCCUCCCUUGGUCUCAAUUCUUAUACACAGGAACAUUCAGAACAACAGAUGAAGGGCCAGAGAAGCCAGACCCAUUCUUUCAGAUGGUACUCUUCAGACUAGAAGGAGCUUCCAGUUGA